RNAcentral lists this ribosomal RNA (501 nucleotides) under uncultured bacterium. RNAcentral describes it as "partial 16S ribosomal RNA". It matches the Rfam family "Bacterial small subunit ribosomal RNA", at positions 30 to 523 of the family's 1533-position model. The record is from RNAcentral.
AUUGAACGCUGGCGGCAGGCUUAACACAUGCAAGUCGAGCGGGGGAAGGUAGCUUGCUACUGGACCUAGCGGCGGACGGGUGAGUAAUGCUUAGGAAUCUGCCUAUUAGUGGGGGACAACAUCUCGAAAGGGAUGCUAAUACCGCAUACGUCCUACGGGAGAAAGCAGGGGAUCUUCGGACCUUGCGCUAGUAGAUGAGCCUAAGUCGGAUUAGCUAGUUGGUGGGGUAAAGGCCUACCAAGGCGACGAUCUGUAGCGGGUCUGAGAGGAUGAUCCGCCACACCGGGACUGAGACACGGCCCAGACUCCUACGGGAGGCAGCAGUGGGGAAUAUUGGACAAUGGGGGGAACCCUGAUCCAGCCAUGCCGCGUGUGUGAAGAAGGCCUUAUGGUUGUAAAGCACUUUAAGCGAGGAGGAGGCUACUUUAGUUAAUACCUAGAGAUAGUGGACGUUACUCGCAGAAUAAGCACCGGCUAACUCUGUGCCAGCAGCCGCAGUAA